GAUCGAGGCUCCCCCUUCCCUAAGCACAUGGUGACAACGCAAAUGCUGACAACAGAAGGUAUUUUAGCUUAGGACUCUCUUCGGACCACCUCCCCCCUUGAUGGACCUAAUGUUGAGGAUGGAUGCUUUCUCUUCGGGUUUUCCUUUUCGACACACACCUGGUAUCAACAUGGACCUCUUUCCAUCUGCUCUUCGACCCAUACAUGUUACCCACAUAAAAUUUCUUUGAUAUGCUGUGA
Drosophila teissieri is the source of this 239-nucleotide long non-coding RNA. RefSeq lists it as uncharacterized. The transcript is spliced from 4 exons. The record is from RefSeq and is a predicted model, not a curated record. Lineage: Eukaryota; Metazoa; Arthropoda; Insecta; Diptera; Drosophilidae.